Bos taurus (domestic cattle) is the source of this 642-nucleotide long non-coding RNA. Lineage: Eukaryota; Metazoa; Chordata; Mammalia; Artiodactyla; Bovidae. The record is from Ensembl.
CACUAAAUGUCUCCCACUGCUCGCUGCUCUGAUUCAGCUGGGACCAAGUCUGGUUUAGGGACAGCAUUGACAGAGAUUUGCUUGGAGGAGCCUCUGCAGGAGAGCCUGAAUAACCUACCUCAACUGGCUGAUCCCCAACGUCUGCUGAAUCUUCCAAACCAAUCAGUUUGGGCAUUAAGCUUUCAGGGAGUUUUUCUCGAUCGUCAUAACUACUGGAUUGCCUACGAAUUUCAUUGGCAGUUGUAGCUGAGGCUACAGUUCGUAUUGUUGUCUGGUCCUAGACAGAAGCAGGAUGCAUGGUUAAAAGAGUACUGGGGAUCUUCCUGACCCAGGGAUCAAACCGGCAUCUCCUGCAGCCCCUUCGUUGCAGGUGGAUUCUUUACCUCUGGGCCACCAGGGAAGCCCUUUAAAUUGUCUACUUAAAUACAAUUUGCUUUUCCCCAGCCAAACUUGCCUGUAUUCUAUAGCUAUCAAGUUCUUUUCAAAAUGUGCCUUCUGGUCACAUCACUCCACUCUUCAAUUUUAAAGAAAAUCUGUCUGUGACUUCCCAUUGCUCUUAAGGUAAAGCUAAAUCUAACACAGUGCUAUCCUGUAGAACUUUCUGCAAUAAUGGAAAUGUUCCCUGAACUCUCCAAUAUGGUG